GAAUUGACGGGGGCCCGCCCAAGCGGUGGAGCAUGUGGUUUAAUUCGAUGCAACGCGAAGAACCUUACCUACUCUUGACAUCCAGAGAACUUAGCAGAGAUGCUUUGGUGCCUUCGGGAACUCUGAGACAGGUGCUGCAUGGCUGUCGUCAGCUCGUGUUGUGAAAUGUUGGGUUAAGUCCCGCAACGAGCGCAACCCUUAUCCUUUGUUGCCAGCGAUUCGGUCGGGAACUCAAAGGAGACUGCCGGUGAUAAACCGGAGGAAGGUGGGGAUGACGUCAAGUCAUCAUGGCCCUUACGAGUAGGGCUACACACGUGCUACAAUGGCGUAUACAAAGAGAAGCGACCUCGCGAGAGCAAGCGGAACUC
This 368-nucleotide ribosomal RNA is filed under the name Enterobacter sp. EB48. Its description in RNAcentral is "bacterial SSU rRNA". It matches the Rfam family "Bacterial small subunit ribosomal RNA", at positions 907 to 1275 of the family's 1533-position model. The record is from RNAcentral. Lineage: Bacteria; Pseudomonadati; Pseudomonadota; Gammaproteobacteria; Enterobacterales; Enterobacteriaceae.